Molecule: transfer RNA, 61 nt
Filed under: Heterocephalus glaber (naked mole-rat)
Lineage: Eukaryota; Metazoa; Chordata; Mammalia; Rodentia; Bathyergidae
Rfam family: tRNA
About the family: Transfer RNA (tRNA) molecules are approximately 80 nucleotides in length.
Source: Rfam by way of RNAcentral
UGUAGCUCAGAGGUUGAGCAUCUGCUUAGCAUGCAGGAAGCCCUAGGUUUGAACCCCAGUA